This is a long non-coding RNA of Cyprinus carpio (common carp), 1394 nucleotides long. NCBI's taxonomy places the organism in Eukaryota, Metazoa, Chordata, Actinopteri, Cypriniformes, Cyprinidae. The record is from Ensembl.
GUUUGGUCCUCGUCAGAGUUCAGCGGUGUGAGACUCUUCCUCUGCACUGACACCAUUAGACCUGUAGGGGUCAGUAUGACAACGCUUCAAAUACGAAAACAUCUACAAUACCUUGAUUUCAGGGGGAAAAAAUAAACACUUUGUAAUACCACCCCAACUUUGUAGCACUAACUACAAGCGGGAAGUUAUAGAGUUAGUAAGGCACACUUUCCUAAUGACAGUCUAAGACAGCUAGCAUUUGAGAACUGAUGUCACACCUUGAUGUCAGAUACAUUUACUUAUGGUGGAUUUCAGCAGGGAUGAAAAAUUAUCAAUGCUUCAUCUUCUCUACUCUCUUGCAGCUGACUUUGGGUGCACACAUAUCUAUAUUGGAGGGGUGGACUGUAUUGUUUCCUCUCCCUAAACUUCCACUUGGGACUUCCAUUGAUUCAAUAGAAUGGAAAUACCACACAAUCAACAAAACAAUCUUACUGGCCAAGAUAAAUCUAAAGAAGGAACAGGAAUCAAGAUUUUUCAGCAGGAGGACUGGAAUGCAAAUAAUGGAGAAUGGUACACUUUACAUUGAAGAUGUAAAUGAUGAAGACUCUGGGAACUACUCUUGCACCAUAAUUUUCCAUGAUCGAAGGAUGCAGAUAGAGCAGAUUUAUCUUGAAGUACUUCAUGCUAAAGACUUGACGACACAACCGAACAGCAAAAUGUACAACACAACAUUUAAUCCAUCAGAGCCCAGUGUUACUGAAACAGCACUGAUCGCAAUAUCAGUGUGCUCAGCACUCGCAAUUCUCGCAAUUGUAGCCACUAUUUUCAUCUUCAAAUGUACAAGAAAUUGUUGCUGCACAUCAGACGAACCCAUCUACGCCAAUAAGAUGGUCAUAAUUCAAGGAAAUAAAAGGUCACAGGUGGGCAGAAGGACUCCAGAUAAUAAAACCAGAUAAAGACUCUCCAAUUAGCAAAGAGGUGAAUGUGAUAGAUGAGCCCAACAAGUUUGUGACAUCUGUGGUGUGUUGUGGUCAAGGCUGUCACUAUGCAGGAAAAUCUGCCACAUGUUUUUUAGUAUCACUUACAGUAAACACUGAUCUGUGAAGCCAUCUAUUGUGUUGUCUGUGGUUAUGGUCUCAUGCAGGGGCGCCUGCAGGGUUUCAUCUGAGGGUACACACAGAGUUACAGAAUUUUUAUUUUUAUUCUAUUUAUUUUUUGAAUGCAUGCCCUGAAAAUGGCAAAAAGCAACAGAAUGGUCAAAGACAUCCUAGUGCAUGUUCACAUAGGAAAACAACUGAAAAAAAAAAAAAAAACAGGCCGGGUGGACACAAAAAACGAUUCUGUGUGAAUGGCGACUUAUUAAUAUCAGCAUAGCAGUAGCUGAAUUAAAAAAAUAAAAAAAUAAACCUUUCACA